This 72-nucleotide transfer RNA is filed under the name Fomitiporia mediterranea MF3/22. RNAcentral describes it as "tRNA-Thr (CGT) (tRNA-Thr-CGT-2-1)". It matches the Rfam family "tRNA". From Rfam's summary of the family: Transfer RNA (tRNA) molecules are approximately 80 nucleotides in length. Their secondary structure includes four short double-helical elements and three loops (D, anti-codon, and T loops). Lineage: Eukaryota; Fungi; Basidiomycota; Agaricomycetes; Hymenochaetales; Hymenochaetaceae. The record is from RNAcentral.
GCCGCGUUAGCUCAGUGGUAGAGCGCGCCACUCGUAAUGGUGAGGUCGAUUGUUCGAUCCAGUCACGUGGCA